This is a long non-coding RNA of Cydia pomonella (codling moth), 568 nucleotides long. RefSeq lists it as uncharacterized. The transcript is spliced from 2 exons. The record is from RefSeq and is a predicted model, not a curated record. NCBI's taxonomy places the organism in Eukaryota, Metazoa, Arthropoda, Insecta, Lepidoptera, Tortricidae.
AUUUCAUUCUUUCACCGGAUGUGACACAACCUCAUCCUUUAACGGAAGAGGGAAAAAAAACCGCGUUUGAAGCUUGGAAAGCAUAUCCGAAUGUCACACGGGGGUUUGAAGCACUGUAUAGGGGGGAAUAUGACAGAGCGGACCCUGAAAUUCAAAAAUUUGUUAUUACCAUGUAUGACAGAUCAUGCCCCUCUGAGACAGUAAAUGAGUGUCGCAAGAAUUUAUUUACAAAAAAAGACAGGCAACUCGAUUAUUUGCCUCCUACUGAAGCUGCUCUCAAACAACAUACCUUAAGGGCAGUUUUACAGGCUGUUUAUGUUUGGGGGCAGUGCCUAAUAAAAAACCAGAAUAUUCCUUGCCCAUCUGAAUGGGGUUGGCAGAAAGAAGGAGAAGUUUGGGUGCCACUGUGGACCCAAAGUCCUAUGGCUGCUCAAGCAUGCCUGGAGUUGAUUAGAUGUAGGUGCUUGAAAUCUUGCAGAAACAAAUGUAAUUGCUCCAAACGCCAGCUCAAAUGCACAGAACUAUGUAAUUGUGGAGGAAAUUGUAAAUAAAUGUCUGUAAACUUUAA